This 442-nucleotide ribosomal RNA is filed under the name uncultured bacterium. Its description in RNAcentral is "partial 16S ribosomal RNA". It matches the Rfam family "Bacterial small subunit ribosomal RNA", at positions 339 to 795 of the family's 1533-position model. The record is from RNAcentral.
CUACGGGUGGCAGCAGUGGGGAAUAUUGCACAAUGGGGGAAACCCUGAUGCAGCAACGCCGCGUGAAGGAAGAAGGCUCUUGGGUUGUAAACUUCUUUGAAUGGGGACGAAACAAAUGACGGUACCCAUAAAACAAGCCACGGCUAACUACGUGCCAGCAGCCGCGGUAAUACGUAGGUGGCAAGCGUUAUCCGGAAUUACUGGGUGUAAAGGGCGUGUAGGCGGGAGAGCAAGUCAGAUGUGAAAUGCCAAGGCUUAACCAUGGAACUGCAUCUGAAACUGUUUUUCUUGAGUACUGGAGAGGAAAGUGGAAUUCCUAGUGUAGCGGUGAAAUGCGUAGAGAUUAGGAGGAACACCAGUGGCGAAGGCGGCUUUCUGGACAGUAACUGACGCUGAGGCGCGAAAGCGUGGGGAGCAAACAGGAUUAGAUACCCUAGUAGUC